ACCUAAACCUAAAGCCUUGCCUAAGUCAAGCUACUAGAUCAAAGCCCCUCUUAAUAGUACGGUCAAAGAAAAACAAAGUCCUAAACUACUCUAAGUGCCCUUCUUCACCAUAAGGCACUUAGACCUAGUCUAGUCUUGAUGAUGUCCAUCCAUCCUUUGAAAACCGAAACGAUUUCCACUAUUAAGUAGGCAUAUACAUCCC
RNAcentral lists this long non-coding RNA (202 nucleotides) under Sorghum bicolor (sorghum). RNAcentral's name for it is "long non-coding RNA (SBIC_LNC006265)". Lineage: Eukaryota; Viridiplantae; Streptophyta; Magnoliopsida; Poales; Poaceae. The record is from RNAcentral.